RNAcentral lists this ribosomal RNA (513 nucleotides) under uncultured bacterium. RNAcentral's name for it is "partial 16S ribosomal RNA". It matches the Rfam family "Bacterial small subunit ribosomal RNA", at positions 28 to 523 of the family's 1533-position model. The record is from RNAcentral.
GAUGAACGCUGGCGGCGUGCCUAAUACAUGCAAGUCGAGCGAACAGACGAGGAGCUUGCUCCUCUGACGUUAGCGGCGGACGGGUGAGUAACACGUGGAUAACCUACCUAUAAGACUGGGAUAACUUCGGGAAACCGGAGCUAAUACCGGAUAAUAUGUUGAACCGCAUGGUUCAAUAGUGAAUGACGGUUUUGCUGUCACUUAUAGAUGGAUCCGCGCCGCAUUAGCUAGUUGGUAAGGUAACGGCUUACCAAGGCAACGAUGCGUAGCCGACCUGAGAGGGUGAUCGGCCACACUGGAACUGAGACACGGUCCAGACUCCUACGGGAGGCAGCAGUAGGGAAUCUUCCGCAAUGGGCGAAAGCUUGACGGAGCGACGCCGCGUGAGUGAUGAAGGUCUUCGGAUCGUAAAACUCUGUUAUUAGGGAAGAACAAAUGUGUAAGUAACUAUGCACGUCUUGACGGUACCUAAUCAGAAAGCCACGGCUAACUACGUGCCAGCCGCCGCGGUAA